ACCGUUGUUGUUUAGCGGGAAACUAACUGCAUGGCAUGCAGGGGGUCAGGAGUUCGAGUCUCCUUGGCUCCA
RNAcentral lists this transfer RNA (72 nucleotides) under Synechococcus sp. M16.1. RNAcentral describes it as "tRNA-Ala". Lineage: Bacteria; Bacillati; Cyanobacteriota; Cyanophyceae; Synechococcales; Synechococcaceae. The record is from RNAcentral.